RNAcentral lists this ribosomal RNA (2245 nucleotides) under human gut metagenome. Its description in RNAcentral is "bacterial LSU rRNA". It matches the Rfam family "Bacterial large subunit ribosomal RNA", at positions 160 to 2423 of the family's 2925-position model. The record is from RNAcentral.
GAAUACAUAGCUAUACGAGGGUAAACCUAGGGAACUGAAACAUCUAAGUACCUAGAGGAAGAGAAAGAAAAAUCGAUUUCCUAAGUAGCGGCGAGCGAAAGGGAAAGAGCCCAAACCAAAGAUUUAUCUUUGGGGUUGCGGACAGAGCAUUAACGAGAAGUCGUAACUAACCGAACACAACUGGAAAGUUGGACCGUAGGAGGUAAUAGUCCUGUAGGUGAAAGUUAAGAUAAUCAAGCUCUGAUCCAGAGUACCACGAGACACGUGAAACCUUGUGGGAAGCAGGGAGGACCACCUCCCAAGGCUAAAUACUACCUGAUGACCGAUAGUGAAGCAGUACCGUGAGGGAAAGGUGAAAAGAACCCCGGGAGGGGAGUGAAAUAGAACCUGAAACCGUGUGCCUACAACCGGUCAAAGCCCCAUAUGAGGGUGAUGACGUGCUUUUUGUAGAACGAGCCAACGAGUUACGGUAUGUAGCAAGGUUAAGUACUUAAGGUACGGAGCCGAAGGGAAACCGAGUCUUAAUAGGGCGACUAGUUGCAUGCCGUAGACCCGAAACCGGGUGACCUAUCCAUGGCCAGGUUGAAGCGAGGGUAAAACUUCGUGGAGGACCGAACCACGUUGCUGUUGAAAAAGCAUGGGAUGAGCUGUGGAUAGCGGAGAAAUUCCAAUCGAACUCGGAGAUAGCUGGUUCUCCCCGAAAUAGCUUUAGGGCUAGCGUCGGAUAUGUGUAGUGGAGGUAGAGCACUGAAUGGGCUAGGGGGCAUAUCGCUUACCGAACCUUAUCAAACUCCGAAUGCCAUAUACAUUUAGUCCGGCAGUCAGACUACGAAUGAUAAGAUCCGUGGUCAAAAGGGAAACAGCCCAGAUCGUCAGCUAAGGUCCCAAAGUGUAAGUUAAGUGGAAAAGGAUGUGGGAUUUCUAAGACAACUAGGAUGUUGGCUUAGAAGCAGCCACUCAUUUAAAGAGUGCGUAAUAGCUCACUAGUCGAGAGAUCCUGCGCCGAAAAUGUCCGGGGCUCAAACUUACCACCGAAGCUACGGGCUUGCGUAAGCAAGCGGUAGGGGAGCGUCGUAAUCGGGCUGAAGUCGUACCGUAAGGAGCGGUGGACUGAUUACGAGUGAGAAUGUUGGCAUUAGUAGCGAGAUGUAGGUGAGAAUCCUACAGGCCGAAUAUCUAAGGUUUCCUCAGGAAGGCUCGUCCGCUGAGGGUUAGUCGGGACCUAAGCCGAGGCCGAAAGGCGUAGGCGAUGGACAAUCGGUUGAUAUUCCGAUACCACUACCAUCGUUAUUAUCGAGGGUGUGACGGAGAAGGAUAGUGUGUGCUAGCGAUUGGAAAUGCUAGUCUAAGCGUUUAGGGAGUUACGGUAGGCAAAUCCGCUGUAACAAUUCUGAGGCGUGAUGGGGAAGGCCAUAUAGGCCGAAGUACAUGAUUCCAUGCUUCCAAGAAAAGCAUCUAGAGAGAGAAGUAGUGCCCGUACCGCAAACCGACACAGGUAGAUGAGGAGAGAAUCCUAAGGCCGGCGGAAGAAUUGCAGUUAAGGAACUAGGCAAAUUGACCCCGUAAGUUCGCGAGAAGGGGUGCCUGCGAGAGCAGGCCGCAGAGAAUAGGCCCAAGCAACUGUUUAGCAAAAACACAGGUCUCUGCUAAAGCGUAAGCUGAUGUAUAGGGGCUGACGCCUGCCCGGUGCUGGAAGGUUAAGGGGAACACUUAGCGCAAGCGAAGGUGUGAACUUAAGCCCCAGUAAACGGCGGCCGUAACUAUAACGGUCCUAAGGUAGCGAAAUUCCUUGUCAGGUAAGUUCUGACCCGCACGAAUGGCGUAAUGACUUGGGCACUGUCUCAACUGCAAAUCCGGCGAAGUUGUAGUGCGAGUGAAGAUGCUCGCUACCCGCGAUUGGACGGAAAGACCCCGUAGAGCUUUACUGUAGCUUAGCAUUGAAUUCCGGUAUUGUCUGUACAGGAUAGGUGGGAGACUGGGAAACUAGGGCGUCAGCCUUAGUGGAGUCAACCUUGGGAUACCACCCUGACAGUACUGGGGUUCUAACAGGACGCCAUGAAUCUGGUGACUGGACAUUGUUAGGUGGGCAGUUUGACUGGGGCGGUCGCCUCCUAAAAAGUAACGGAGGCGCCCAAAGGUUCCCUCAGAACGGUCGGAAAUCGUUCGUAGAGUGCAAAGGCAGAAGGGAGCCUGACUGCGAGACAUACAAGUCGAGCAGGGACGAAAGUCGGGCUUAGUGAUCCGG